RNAcentral lists this ribosomal RNA (254 nucleotides) under uncultured bacterium. RNAcentral's name for it is "partial 16S ribosomal RNA". It matches the Rfam family "Bacterial small subunit ribosomal RNA", at positions 524 to 776 of the family's 1533-position model. The record is from RNAcentral.
UACGUAGGGGGCGAGCGUUGUCCGAAGUUACUGGGCGUAAAGCGCGCGUAGGCGGGGGGUUAAGUGAGAGGUGAAAGGCUGGGGCUCAACCUCAUGCAGUGCCUCUCAUACUGGCCUUCUUGAGGGCGGUAGGGAGAAGUGGAAUGGCUGGUGUAGCGGUGAAAUGCGUAGAGAUCAGUCGGAACACCGGUGGCGAAGGCGGCUUCUUGGGCCGUUCCUGACGCUGAUGCGCGAAAGCUGGGGGAGCGAACGGG